GCGGGCGGCUGUGAGCGGGGGCUGGUUCCUAGUCCCCGGGAGAAGCCAAGAAGGGGAUCCUUGCAACAUGAUACCACUUGAGUCUGUGAGACCUCUUUCAAAGGAUGUCUGGGACAGGGUGCCUGGCCCUYAGACUGUUCAUCACCUACCUGACACAGGAAGCUCACCUGUGCUUGCUGGCAAUGAGGAACUCUACAGUCACUUUUCCUCUUUGGGGUGAUUGA
Molecule: long non-coding RNA, 224 nt
Filed under: Urocitellus parryii (Arctic ground squirrel)
Lineage: Eukaryota; Metazoa; Chordata; Mammalia; Rodentia; Sciuridae
Description: lncRNA (ENSUPAG00010018699.1)
Source: RNAcentral